This 69-nucleotide transfer RNA is filed under the name Ictidomys tridecemlineatus (thirteen-lined ground squirrel). RNAcentral describes it as "Spermophilus tridecemlineatus (thirteen-lined ground squirrel) tRNA". It matches the Rfam family "tRNA". Rfam says of the family: Transfer RNA (tRNA) molecules are approximately 80 nucleotides in length. Lineage: Eukaryota; Metazoa; Chordata; Mammalia; Rodentia; Sciuridae. The record is from Rfam by way of RNAcentral.
GGGGUUGUGGCUCAGUGGUAGAGCACUUGUCUAGAAUGUGUGAGGCACUAGGUUUGACCUUCAGCUCCA